GACGAACGCUGGCGGCGUGCUUAACACAUGCAAGUCGAACGCUGAAGCCCUUUCGGGGGUGGAUGAGUGGCGAACGGGUGAGUAACACGUGGGUAAUCUGCCCUGCACUCUGGGAUAAGCCUUGGAAACGGGGUCUAAUACCGGAUAGGACACAUCGCCGCAUGGUGUGUGUGGAAAGUUCCGGCGGUGCAGGUUGAGCCCGCGGCCUAUCAGCUUGUUGGUGGGGUGAUGGCCUACCAAGGCGACGACGGGUAGCCGGCCUGAGAGGGUGACCGGCCACACUGGGACUGAGACACGGCCCAGACUCCUACGGGAGGCAGCAGUGGGGAAUCUUGCGCAAUGGGCGAAAGCCUGACGCAGCAACGCCGCGUGGGGGAUGACGGCCUUCGGGUUGUAAACCUCUUUCGACCGGGACGAAGGGUGACUGACGGUACCGGUAGAAGAAGCACCGGCUAACUACGUGCCAGCAGCCGCGGUAA
RNAcentral lists this ribosomal RNA (479 nucleotides) under uncultured bacterium. Its description in RNAcentral is "partial 16S ribosomal RNA". It matches the Rfam family "Bacterial small subunit ribosomal RNA", at positions 28 to 523 of the family's 1533-position model. The record is from RNAcentral.